ACUUGUUCGUGACGUGGUCUUUUACCUGUCUAUUAGAACAAAGGUUGCAGGCCAGUCAGCCUGACAACCGUGCAUACAAUGCAGGGACUGCCGCCUACGUUUCUCUUUCUUUGAGGUUUUUGUAAGCGCUCACGCACGUACGGUCCUUUGGACCUGUGCUCCGCGAGGGCGCGGCACGAGCCGCGACGGCCGGUCGGCCUCUUUUGGUGACCUACCGUCUCAGGACGGGCGCACGGCACGAGCUGCGACGCGUAAGCGCGCUGCGUUUGACGGUUGAUCUGUCAAAUCAGGGCUUGUAGCUCAGUUGGUUAGAGCGCGCGCUUGAUAAGCGUGAGGUCGGAGGUUCAAGUCCUCCCAGGCCCACCAUAUUCCUUACCGCUCUCGCUUGAUCCGCCCCUUGGGCGGCGCUCCGCGGGGGCUCGCGGCAUGAGCCGCGACGGCCAGUCGGCCUUGCGAAGCUUCGCUUCGAAUACCUUUACGGGGGCGUAGCUCAGCUGGGAGAGCACCUGCUUUGCAAGCAGGGGGUCGUCGGUUCGAUCCCGUCCGCCUCCACCAAGGUUUUGUCAGAUGGGCAAGGACUUUUGGAUGGACUGCCAGUCGAAAUCAAAAACAUCAUUUAAAGAACCAAGUUUGCGGCUUGUUGGGCUUUGGCCUGACGGUUGCGUGUUCUGUAUGAAAUUGUGAAGAGAAGAUAUGUCCGGGUUAUUCUGGAUGUUCAAAGGUUUGUACGCCAAGUACAGACCGCUAGGUCGUCGCGGCUUGCCGCGCGCUUAGUGCAGGCCCUUGCGGCCGUGAACGCUGAAAUAACGUCGCAUGGGGUGCUCAUCAAAAGCCUCAUGCAAAUGAUUGGCCGCUUAACCGCAGAGCCAUCGGAUUUAUCUCGAGAAGCUGGUCUUUUUUGUCAAAUCGAUUGUUGCUGAAUGUUGAGCUGGUCUGUUGGUAUCCCCCGCAGCGGCUUUAUGUUCGUGAAGGCAAGGAUGGAUAUUGGCAAUGAGAAUGAUCAAGUGUCUUAAGGGCAUUUGGUGGAUGCCUUGGCAUGCACAGGCGAUGAAGGACGUGAUACGCUGCGAUAAGCGUCGGGAGGUGCGAA
This 1090-nucleotide unclassified non-coding RNA is filed under the name Phyllobacterium sp. RNAcentral's name for it is "partial 16S-23S ribosomal RNA intergenic spacer". The stretch from base 290 to 363 matches the Rfam family "tRNA". Lineage: Bacteria; Pseudomonadati; Pseudomonadota; Alphaproteobacteria; Hyphomicrobiales; Phyllobacteriaceae. The record is from RNAcentral.